CCCUUAGAUGUUCUGGGCCGCACGCGCGCUACACUGAUGCAUUCAACGAGCCUAUCCUUGACAGACAGGUCCGGGUAAUCUUUGAAUCUGCAUCGUGACGGGGAUAGAUUAUUGCAAUUAUUAAUCUUCAACGAGGAAUGCCUAGUAGGCGCAAGUCAUCAGCUUGCGUCGAUUACGUCCCUGCCCUUUGUACACACCGCCCGUCGCUCCUACCGAUUGGGUGUGCUGGUGAAAUGUUCGGAUCGGCCGUUUGUCGCGGUUUCCGCGUCAUGUGGCUGAGAAGUUCAUUAAACCCUCCCACCUAGAGGAAGGAGAAGUCGUAACA
This 325-nucleotide ribosomal RNA is filed under the name uncultured eukaryote. RNAcentral describes it as "partial 18S ribosomal RNA". It matches the Rfam family "Eukaryotic small subunit ribosomal RNA", at positions 1470 to 1796 of the family's 1831-position model. The record is from RNAcentral.